Molecule: small RNA, 1510 nt
Filed under: Arabidopsis thaliana (thale cress)
Lineage: Eukaryota; Viridiplantae; Streptophyta; Magnoliopsida; Brassicales; Brassicaceae
Description: ATSL263730
Source: RNAcentral
AAUAUAUAGGAUUACUUUGAGGACUAAAAACAAAAGAAGAGCUAUGCCUAUAAAUAAACACUACCAUCAAAUGUUUAGAUUUCAAGUAUGUAAAACGAUAAGUGAUAUAUCCCUAUUUUCACUGAUUUUAUAUAUGAUUUAGGGUUAGAAUUUUGAGUCUUUAUGUUGUUUCUCGAGUCUUUUUAGUGUCUUUUCAGGUAUUCUAUGCAGUGGGACAGCAAUGGAGAUAAGAAAACAUUUUGGAGCAAAAGCUAAGGAAAAGGAAGCUAAGGACGAUUUUGGACUCAGGAAUCAAGAGGAGUGUCGAUCGACACACUCUUGGUGUCGAUCGACACCAGUUUUGGGCCAACAAAAGUCCAAGACGCUUUCAAGUUUACAUAAGAGGAAAUUUACCCCAGAAGACUUCUCUAUUUGCAUUAUUAGUCCCUGGACGUUUUUAGGGUUUCAUAUACUUUGUUUUAGACCUAAGUUUCAUCGAUCAAGUUUUUAUCAACCUUUUUGCAAACCCUGUUACUGAGAGAUAUAAGCUAUUCAUCCCUUGUUUUCCAGAGAUUCAUACAGUUCUUAAUACAUUGAAGAGAUCCCUUCUUUUCCCUUCUCUAUUUACUGUGUUUAUGCUUUCAUACUCAAAGAUGUUGUUUGCUUCAAUCAAUAUGUCUGAGUAGUCUGCUUGUUAGGAAUAGGGUUUCUCAUUAGGGAUUCAUAUGGUUUAGUAGAUUGCCCCCUUUGCUAGGUUAUCUGUAAAAUUAUUCAUCUUUAACUGUGUUUAAUGCUAGAUCUAGAAUAGCUAACUAGAUCUUGAAUCCAGACAAUAGAUAUGCCCGCCAUAGGUAUCUGUAGUUGGAUAUAUUAUUUGAUGAGCCUGGUUUGUAGGUGUGUAAUAAGAAUCGGCCUAUCUACCAAGGUGAACAAUCGAACUCGUUAAGAAUGCAUAUUUAGGUUAAUAAUUUCUCGGCUUCUCCGGUUAUUCUUAGCUAUAGAUAUAUGAAGUUUCGCGGAACGCCACCGGUCAUUCCAUAAUUAGAGUUUGAGUUUAAGAAUGGUUUGAUAACAACCUAGCUUUCAUUAGAUCUACUAACCAAUAGUUUAUUUAAUCGUUUACAACACAAUCAACCUGCUGUUUUCUUACUUUGUUUUCUUAAAAUUUCAAUCAUCACCUGCUAGCUUAAUCUCGACAUUCAAUUCAUUGUUUGACAAAAGAACUUUGUGGAAAUCGAUCCUUAAAUACUGCAAUUGAUCUCUUAUUUGAGAGAGUAGUUCUAGGGAAAUUUGAACCAUAUCAACAAUCAUGUUCAAGCUACUACAACAAUUUUAAUGAAAAUAAUUAUUACCUAUGACUUAUACUUUCCAUUUGAAGCUUUUACAUUCUGGAGCAAGUGGAGGAGGCGUUGUGAUCUUCCAAAGAUGGUGAUUCAUCAAGGUGCCUCUGAAUCCAUGGAUCCAUGAUUGAUCCUAGACUAGAAAAAAAAACGUUAGUACUACAAAAUUGAAAACCGAUUUGCAGAAUACG